This 90-nucleotide transfer RNA is filed under the name Candidatus Portnoybacteria bacterium CG_4_8_14_3_um_filter_44_15. RNAcentral's name for it is "tRNA-Ser". It matches the Rfam family "tRNA". From Rfam's summary of the family: Transfer RNA (tRNA) molecules are approximately 80 nucleotides in length. The record is from RNAcentral. Lineage: Bacteria; Candidatus Portnoyibacteriota.
GGAGAGGUGCUUGAGAGGCCGAAAAGGACAGUCUUGAAAACUGUUGUGGCAGAAAUGUCACCGUGGGUUCGAAUCCCACCCUCUCCGCCA